This 2322-nucleotide ribosomal RNA is filed under the name Mycoplasma sp. RNAcentral describes it as "partial contains 16S ribosomal RNA, 16S-23S ribosomal RNA intergenic spacer, and 23S ribosomal RNA". The stretch from base 1 to 1496 matches the Rfam family "Bacterial small subunit ribosomal RNA". Lineage: Bacteria; Bacillati; Mycoplasmatota; Mollicutes; Mycoplasmatales; Mycoplasmataceae. The record is from RNAcentral.
UGGCUCAGGAUGAACGCUGGCUGUGUGCCUAAUACAUGCAAGUCGAGCGAAGUACUUUUGUACUUAGCGGCGAAUGGGUGAGUAACACGUACUCAACGUACCCUUCAGUUUGGAAUAGCAGUUGGAAACAACUGAUAAUACCAAAUACUUAUUUUGGUCGCAUGACCGAAAUAUAAAAGGUGCCUUAAAGCAUCGCUGGAGGAGCGGGGUGCGCAACAUUAGCUAGUUGGUGAGGUAACGGCCCACCAAGGCGAUGAUGUUUAGCGGGGUUGAGAGACUGAACCGCCACACUGGGACUGAGAUACGGCCCAGACUCCUACGGGAGGCAGCAGUAGGGAAUAUUCCACAAUGGACGAAAGUCUGAUGGAGCGACACAGCGUGCAGGAUGAAGGCCUCAUGGGUUGUAAACUGCUGUGGUAAGGGAAUAAAAAACAGUGUAGGAAAUGCCACUGUAUUGAAUGUACCUUAUUAGAAAGCAACGGCUAACUAUGUGCCAGCAGCCGCGGUAAUACAUAGGUUGCAAGCGUUAUCCGGAAUUAUUGGGCGUAAAGCGUCUGUAGGUUGUUUAUUAAGUCUGGCGUUAAAUUUUGGGGCUCAACCCCAAACCGCGUUGGAUACUGGUAAACUAGAGUUAUGUAGAGGUUAGCGGAAUUCCUUGUGAAGCGGUGAAAUGCGUAGAUAUAAGGAAGAACACCAACAUGGCGAAGGCAGCUAACUGGACAUACACUGACACUGAGAGACGAAAGCGUGGGGAGCAAACAGGAUUAGAUACCCUGGUAGUCCACGCCCUAAACGAUGAUCAUUAGCUGAUGGGGAACUCAUCGGCGCAGCUAACGCAUUAAAUGAUCCGCCUGAGUAGUACGUUCGCAAGAAUAAAACUUAAAGGAAUUGACGGGGACCCGCACAAGCGGUGGAGCAUGUGGUUUAAUUUGAAGAUACGCGUAGAACCUUACCCACUCUUGACAUCUUCCGCAAAGCUAUAGAGAUAUAGUGGAGGUUAACGGAAUGACAGAUGGUGCAUGGUUGUCGUCAGCUCGUGUCGUGAGAUGUUCGGUUAAGUCCUGCAACGAGCGCAACCCCUGUUCUUAGUUACUAACAUUUAGUUGAGCACUCUAAGAAGACUGCCCGAGUAAUCGGGAGGAAGGUGGGGAUGACGUCAAAUCAUCAUGCCUCUUACGAGUGGGGCAACACACGUGCUACAAUGGCCGGUACAAAGUGAAGCAACCUGGUGACAGUGAGCAAACCACAAAAAACCGGUCUCAGUUCGGAUUGGAGUCUGCAACUCGACUCCAUGAAGUCGGAAUCGCUAGUAAUCGUAGAUCAGCUACGCUACGGUGAAUACGUUCUCGGGUCUUGUACACACCGCCCGUCAAACCAUGGGAGCUGGUAAUGCCCGAAGUCGGUUUAUUAACAAACUGCCUAAGGCAGGACUGGUGACUGGGGUUAAGUCGUAACAAGGUAUCCCUACGAGAACGUGGGGAUGGAUUACCUCCUUUCUACGGAGUACAAAAUCGAUUUAAUAUCGAUACACUAACCUUAAUUCAGACCUACUUUAUAUUUAUAAAACUUGUCAUGGCUUAUUAGGUCGUAAGCAAUAUAUCUAGUUUUGAGAGGACGACUCUCAAUUCGUUCUUUGAAAACUGAAUAGUAAUUAUUUUAAAAUAUUACAACGACAUCAAACAAUAAAUUAAUUUGGUUAAUUUGUUUUGAUUCAUCGAGUAGUUAUAUUAAUAUAACUCAUUGAAAUGUCUUAAAAUACACAUCAUAACAACAAUAGGAAAUCUUAAUUUUAUAAAUUAAGGACAUACUUUUAAAUAAGUAAGAGUUUGUGGUGGAUGCCUUGGGUCUGGAAGUCGAUGAAGGACGUGAUUACCUGCGAUAAGCCUCGUGGAGCUGGAUAUGAGCUACGAAACGGGGAUUUCCGAAUGGGGGAACCUAACUAGGGUAAUGCCUAGUUGCCUUCUUCUGAAUACAUAGGAAGUCGAGCGAGACACCAUGUGAACUGAAACAUCUUAGUAGCAUGAGGAAAAGAAAAUAAAAAAUGAUUUCUUCAGUAGCGGCGAGCGAACGAGAAAGAGCCCAAACCAUUUUAUAAUGGGGUUGUAGGACAGUCUACACAGAGUUACAAAAUUAAAUGAUAGCAGAAGCAUUUGGGAAGAUGCGCCAUAGAAGGUGAUAGCCCUGUAAGCGAAAUUGUUUAAUCUCUUGACUGUAUCCUGAGUAGGGCGGGGCACGUGAAACCCUGUCUGAAUCUGCCGGGACCAUCCGGUAAGGCUAAAUACUAACCAGACACCGAUAGUGAACAAGUACCGUGAGGGAAAG